GCUUUUGAUUAAUGUGAAACCAUAUUGUUUUCAUAUUGUAUAAAUGUCAUCAUAUGAAGUCAGUUUGGGUUUCUUUGGAUUUUUUUGUGUUUCAGGCUUUCAAUUACCAGUAUCCAUGAGCUCUUAAAAAAUGAAAAGAUAAGCUAUAAUGCAGCAGAUUAUUUUUCCUCUUUGGGAAUGUCAUCAACGCCAAGACAUGAAGAAGUGAACAAACAACUACUGCUUUCAGUCUACUGUUGGUCAUCCUGCUGGAAUCAAAAGUUCUUGACCACGAUGAAGCCGUUUGCUCUGCUGCCCUCGCUGCCGCACCAUCCGCCCCGCCUUCCAAAUCUCCCAGGUGCCAGCCCACCCUGUGUCAACAGUUUGUGCUGCUUGACAAAACUGAAGACCACCUGCAGACCACACGGGGGCAUCUAGAUGACAACCCACCUCCUCCAGAAACAGUCUACGAAACUUUUUUCUACUGUUCGUCAUGGUUGUUUGAUGUACUCUGAGGGUAGGAAGCCAACGGGUCUUGAGCUUCUUCUUGUCCUUCAUUUUCUCUGGUUACACCCUGGUCUUUAAAUUUGUGUCCAUCCAUCCAUCCAUCUUCAUUAACCAUUUGUCCUGUCAGGCUUGCGGUGCUCUGGAGCCUAUCCCAGAAUCACUGGGCACACUCUGGCGGGUACGCCCCGGGCAGGCCGCCAGUCCAUUGCAGGGUAGCCGUACAAACACUAAGCCAUCCACACACUACAGGUCAUUUGGAGUCACCAAUCCACCUGAACUGCAUGUCGUUGGACUCUGAGAAGAAACCCAAGGAGACACAGAGAGAGCACACAAACUCCACACAAACUGAGCCGGAUUCGAACCUCCAGCCGAACAGCUCGGGCGCCAAAGGCAGCACUGCUGCCUGCUGUGCCACUGUGCUGUAAAUUUGUGCCAGUGAUGCUUGAUAUUGUGCUCCUUUAUAUAGCUUCAGACAUACAGUAAUAGAAAUGUUAGCGGAAAAUACACUUUAUUUCAGGUGGACUCAGCAUCGGUGUGUCCUUUCCCCUGUCUUUGAGCACGCACAAGUUCUCACACACACACACACACACACACACACACACACACACACACACACACACACACUAUUACUCACAGGGUCUCGUAUAGCCAUCACGUUACGUUCUCAGUUUUUUUGCAUUAUUGCUCUUAUAAAAAAAUGAAUUUAGUUCCCCCGG
This 1202-nucleotide long non-coding RNA is filed under the name Scleropages formosus (Asian bonytongue). Its description in RNAcentral is "lncRNA (ENSSFOG00015028459.1)". Lineage: Eukaryota; Metazoa; Chordata; Actinopteri; Osteoglossiformes; Osteoglossidae. The record is from RNAcentral.